GAUGAACGCUGGCGGCGUGCCUAAUACAUGCAAGUCGAGCGAACGGACGAGAAGCUUGCUUCUCUGAUGUUAGCGGCGGACGGGUGAGUAACACGUGGAUAACCUACCUAUAAGACUGGGAUAACUUCGGGAAACCGUAGCUAAUACCGGAUAAUAUUUUGAACCGCAUGGUUCAAAAGUGAAAGACGGUCUUGCUGUCACUUAUAGAUGGAUCCGCGCUGCAUUAGCUAGUUGGUAAGGUAACGGCUUACCAAGGCAACGAUGCAUAGCCGACCUGAGAGGGGGAUCGGCCACACUGGAACUGAGACACGGUCCAUACUCCUACGGGAGGCAGCAGUAGGGAAUCGUCCGCAAUGGGCGAAAGCCUGACGGAGCAACGCCGCGUGAGUGAUGAAGGUCUUCGGAUCGUAAACCUCUGUUAUUAGGGAAGAACAUAUGUGUAAGUAACUGUGCACAUCUUGACGGUACCUAAUCAGAAAGCCACGGCUAACUACGUG
RNAcentral lists this ribosomal RNA (497 nucleotides) under uncultured bacterium. Its description in RNAcentral is "partial 16S ribosomal RNA". It matches the Rfam family "Bacterial small subunit ribosomal RNA", at positions 28 to 507 of the family's 1533-position model. The record is from RNAcentral.